AGGGAUGUAGCUCAGGGUUAAGGUUCCUGCCUAGCAUACAUGAGACCCUGGGUUCAAUUCCCAGCAUUGCAA
This 72-nucleotide transfer RNA is filed under the name Urocitellus parryii (Arctic ground squirrel). RNAcentral's name for it is "Spermophilus parryii (Arctic ground squirrel) tRNA". It matches the Rfam family "tRNA". Rfam says of the family: Transfer RNA (tRNA) molecules are approximately 80 nucleotides in length. Their secondary structure includes four short double-helical elements and three loops (D, anti-codon, and T loops). Further hydrogen bonds mediate the characteristic L-shaped molecular structure. tRNAs have two regions of fundamental functional importance: the anti-codon, which is responsible for specific mRNA codon recognition, and the 3' end, to which the tRNAs corresponding amino acid is attached (by aminoacyl-tRNA synthetases). tRNAs cope with the degeneracy of the genetic code in two manners: having more than one tRNA (with a specific anti-codon) for a particular amino acid; and 'wobble' base-pairing, i.e. permitting non-standard base-pairing at the 3rd anti-codon position. RNAcentral also lists the same sequence under 2 other names. The record is from Rfam by way of RNAcentral. Lineage: Eukaryota; Metazoa; Chordata; Mammalia; Rodentia; Sciuridae.